AGGCGGCGGCAGCAGGCAAGACAGCCUCAGCAGCCCCGAGCGCGUGGCAGAGCUAGCAGGACCACCCCCACCCCCUCCCCAGAGCUGCUUGAGCUCAGCCUUGGUCCGGGGCGGGGCGGGACAGGGCGGGGCCGGAGGACCGAGGGGGCGGGGAGAAGAGGCUCCAGCUGGCUCCACUCCGCAGCGGCAGCAGAGGCAGCGCAGCGGGCCGAGCGAGCAGCAGCUGCCGGACAGGCAGCCGGGCGCGCUCCGGGAGGAAGCCGGCCGGCGGCCCUAAGGAUGCUGAUCAAGCCCACAAAAGGGCAAUAUUCCACAUUUCUCAUCUCGUGAAUGGCCUUCAGGAUCUGCAGACCAGGGACAUUGCUGACACCAGCUGUGCAGCUGGGAAAGUUAUCGAAGAUGUGCUCCGUGGAUGAGUUAAUAUAACAGAGAUUAUUUGGCAAGUCUUCCUGGUAAGUGUACCCCCUUGAUAAUAUAUCAUUUUUUACAGCUUCGAAAAUUCAAAUUACUCUC
Molecule: long non-coding RNA, 513 nt
Filed under: Phascolarctos cinereus (koala)
Lineage: Eukaryota; Metazoa; Chordata; Mammalia; Diprotodontia; Phascolarctidae
Description: lncRNA (ENSPCIG00000031836.1)
Source: RNAcentral